GGCGCAGGCGGCUGGACAAGUCGAAUGUGAAAUUUCCCGGCUUAACUGGGAAGAGCCAUUCGAUACUGUUUGGCUCGAGUGCAUCAGGGGGAGGUAGAAUUCCCGGUGUAGUGGUGAAAUGCGUAGAUAUCGGGAGGAAUACCAGUGGCGAAGGCGGUCUCCUGGGGUGUUACUGACGCUUAAGCCCGAAAGCGUGGGGAGCAAACAGGAUCAGAUACCCUGGUAGUCCACGCUGUAAACUAUGGACACUGGGUAUGGGGAGUAUCGACCCUCUCCGUGCCGAAGCUAACGCGUUAAGUGUCCCGUCUGGGAACUACGGCCGCAAGGCUAAA
RNAcentral lists this ribosomal RNA (332 nucleotides) under uncultured bacterium. RNAcentral's name for it is "bacterial SSU rRNA". It matches the Rfam family "Bacterial small subunit ribosomal RNA", at positions 568 to 898 of the family's 1533-position model. The record is from RNAcentral.